RNAcentral lists this long non-coding RNA (3852 nucleotides) under Sus scrofa (pig). RNAcentral describes it as "lncRNA (ENSSSCG00015013830.1)". The record is from RNAcentral. Lineage: Eukaryota; Metazoa; Chordata; Mammalia; Artiodactyla; Suidae.
UUUUUUUUUUUUUUUUGGCCACACCCACAGCACACAGAAGUCUGGGCCAGGGAUCAAACAUAUACCAAAGCUGUAACCAGAGCCGCAGAAGUGACAAUACCAGAUUCUUAACCUUCUGAGUCACCAGGGGACUCCUUGGUGAGGAUUUUUGGGAUCUGACACCAAAAGCAAAGUCAAAAAAGGCAAAAAUAAAAAAAGCACAAUGGCAUCAAACUGAAAAGCUCCUUGCAUAGCCAAGGAAACUAUCAACAAAAUGGAAUGUCAAUCUACUGAAUGUGAGAGAAUACUUGCAAAUCAAAAAUAUAAGGACUUAAUAUCCAAAGUAUGUGAAGAAAUCAUACAACUCAAUAGCAAAAAAGCAAACAAUCUGAUUAAAAAAUGAAUAGAGGCUUUGAACAGACAUUUUCCCAAAGAUAUACAAAUGACCAACAGGUACAUGGAAAGGCACUCAACAUCAGUGAUCAUUGAAAAAAUGCCAAUCGAAACCACAGUGAAGAAUCCCUUCACCCCUGUUAGAUGGCUAUUAUCAAAACACAGCAAAUGACAAGUAUUUGAGAGGAUGUGGAGACAAGGGAACCCUUGCACACUGUUGGUGGGAAUGUCACUUGUAGCCACUACAAAAAAUAGUAUGGAGUUUCCUCAAAAAAAUUAAAAAUAGAAUAUACAAUUCAGCAAUUCCAUUCCUGGGUACAUAUCCAAAGAAAACAAAAAAAAAGUAAUUUGACAAGGUACAUGCACCCCAAUGUUCAUAGCAUUAUUUAAAAUUGUCAAGGGAGUUCCCAUUGUAGCUCAGCAGGAAGAAACCCAACUAGCAUCCAUGAAGAUGCGGUUCGAUCCCUGCCCUCACUCAGUACGUUAAGGAUCCCUCGUUGUCGUGAGCUGUGGUGUAGGUCGCAGAAUCAGUUCAGGUCCUGCAUUGCUGUGCCUGUGGCACAGGCCAGCCACUGUAGCUCCAAUUCGACCCCUAGCCUGGGAACUUCGAUAUGCCACAGGUAUGGGCCUAAAAAGCAAAAAAUUAAAAAUAAAAAUAAAAUUUUCAAGACAUGGAAGCAAACUUUGCCACUUGCAACAACAUGGAUGGGCCGGGAGGGUAUUAGGCUUAGUGAUUAAGUCAGGGAAAGACAAAUAUCGUAGGUUACCACUUACAUGUGCAAUCUAAAAAAUAAAGCAAAAAAUGAAUAUAACCAAACAGAAACAGACUCGCAAAGAACGAAGUAGCGGUCACCAGUGGAGAGAAGUGGUCACCAGUGGAGAGAGAGCAGGGGGGGAGGGAAAGCUAGAGGGAGGGAAUUAAGCAGCACAAAGGACUACGUAUGAAAUAAAUAAGCACAAGGAUAUCUUGUACCGCACAGGGAAUACAGCCGAUAAUUUAUAAUAACUUUAAAUGGAGUAUAAUCUACUAAAAGUUUGAAUCACCAGGUUGUAUACCUGAAACUAAUAUUGUACAUCACCUACACUUCAACUGAAGUAUUUAAAAAUAAAUAAAUAAAUAACAAAACAAAAUAAAUCCGAAUUCAUAGAUACAGAGAACCAGGGGUUGCCAAAGGCAGCGGGUGAGGGGUUGGGGUGUGUGUGUGUGUGUGUGUGUGUGUGUGUGUGAAAUGGGUAAAGGCAAUCAAACACAUAAACUUUCAGUUACAUACAAUGUACAGCAUGGUGACUAUACUUAGUAAUAACUGUACUGCAUAUUUGAAAGCUGCUAAAAGAGUAAAACAUAAAAGUCAUCAUCACAAGAAAAAAGUAUUUUAACUAUGCAUGAUGAGGGACACUAACUAGAUUUAUUGUGGUGAUCAUUUUGGAAUAUAUACAAAUAUUGAGUCACUACGCUGUACACCUGAAACUAAUAGUGUCAUACGUCAAUUGUCUCUCAUUUUUUAAAAAUGUUCAGGCUUAAGAAAAAAGAAAAGAUCUCAAAUCAACAGCCUAACUUCACAAUCCAAGGAGCUAGAAAAAGAACAAACUGAAUCAAUAGCGAGCAGAAUGAAGGAAACAGUGAAGAGGUUUAAGAAAAUGAUUCUAGGAGUUUCCUUCGUGACUAAGUGGUUAAUAAACCCAAGUAGCAUCCAUGAGGAUGCGGGUUCGAUCCCUGGCCUUGAUCAGUGGGGUAAGGACCUCGUGUUGCCCUGAGCUGUGGUGUAGGUUGCAGAUGUGGCUCAGAUCCAGCAUUGCUGUGGCCGUGGUGUAGGCUGGCAGCUGUAGCUUCGAUUGGACGCCUAGCCCGGGAAUCUCCGUGUGCUGUGGGCGCAGCCCUAAAAAAAUAAAAAUAAAAAUAAAAAAAAAGAAAGGAAAAGGAAGAAAGAAAGAAAGAAAAGAAAAGCAAAGAAAAGAAAAGAAAAGAAUAGAAAAGAAAAGAAAACAAUUCUAUCUAAAUAGCAACACAUUUUUUUAAGGAAUUGACCAAGGAAGUGAAAGACUUGUACAAUGAAAACUACAAAACACUGCUGAAAGAAAUUUAAAAAGACAUAACUAGAUGGAAAGAUAUCUAGUGUUCACUGAAUGGAAGACAUUCAAUUUUAAUCAUUUUUAUUUUUUCCAUUAUAGUUAAAGUGCCCUGUCAAUUUCUACUGUACAACAAAGUGACUCAGUCUCACAUAUAUAUACAUUCUUCUUCUCACAUUAUCCUCAUCAUGCUCCAUUACAAGUGACUAGAUAUAGUUCCCUGUGCUAUACAGCAGGAUCUCAUUGCUUAUCCACUCCAAAUGCAAUAGCUUGCAUCUAUUAACCCCAGAUUCCCAGUCUAUCCCACUCUCUCCCCCUCCCCUUCAGCAACGACAAGUCUGUUGUUAAGACGUUGUUGAUAGAACCACGAUAAUCUACAAGUGCAAUGUGUAAUCCCUUCCAAAAUCUCAAUGGUAUUCUUUGUGGAAUUAGAAAAAAAAAUUCAUACUAAAAUUCAUAUAGAAUGUCAAGGGAUCCUGAAAAGCCAAGACAAUCUUGAAAAGACAAAGUUGGAAGACUUGUAGUUCUUGAUUUCAAAGCUUACUACAAAGCCACAAUAAUCAAAACAAUGCGGUACUGGUAUAAAGAGAGCAUAUAGGCCAAUGAAACAGAGAGCCAGAAAUAAACUCUUACAAGUAUGGUCAAAGAAUUUCCAACAGAUGUGCUAGGAUAGUCUUUUCAACAAAUAUGCUGGUGCUGGGGAAACUGGUAUCCGCAUGCAAAAGAAUAAAGUUGGACUCAACACCAUAUACAAAAAUUAAGUAAAAACGAACCAAAAUACCCAAAUCUAAGAAAACUAAUAUGUUAGAAGAAAACAUACAGAAAAGCUUCAUGACAUCAGAUUUGGUGAUGAUUUCUUGUCUAUCACACCAAAGGUACAGGCAACAAUGAAAAUAGACAAACUGGACUUCAUUGAACUAGAAACUUUUAGAUAUCAAAGAACACAAUCAACAGAUUAAAAAAUGCAACUCCCAAAAUGGAAGAAAGUAUUUAUAAAUCACAUAUCUGAUAAGGGAUUAAUACUCAGAAUAUACAGAAAACUGCUAGCACUCAAUCAAAACAAAAACAAACAAACAAAAAAAACCAAACAAGUUUUGGGGAAAGGUAACCAGUGAAACGUACCCUGAGAGGGAAAGUAAGAUGGUGCAGCUGCCAGGGAAACAGUAUAGUGGUUCUUCAAAAACUUAAAAGUAGGGAAUUCCCAUUGUGGCGCAGUGGUUAACGAAUCCGACUAGGAACCAUGAGGUUGCAGGUUCGGUCCCUGCCCUUGCUCAGUGGGUUAAGGAUCUGGUGUUGCCAUGAGCUGUGGUGUAGGUUGCAGACGCGGCUCGAUCCCGUGUUGCUGUGGCUCUGUGUAGGCCGGUGGCUACAGCUCUGAUUCGACCCCUAGCCUGGGAACCUUCAUAUGCCACG